Molecule: ribosomal RNA, 773 nt
Filed under: uncultured bacterium
Lineage: Bacteria
Description: bacterial SSU rRNA
Rfam family: Bacterial small subunit ribosomal RNA
Source: RNAcentral
AGAGUUUGAUCAUGGCUCAGGACGAACGCUGGCGGCGUGCUUAACACAUGCAAGUCGAACGGAAAGGCCCUUCGGGGUACUCGAGUGGCGAACGGGUGAGUAACACGUGGGUGAUCUGCCCUGCACUUUGGGAUAAGCCUGGGAAACUGGGUCUAAUACCGAAUAGGACCACGCGCUUCAUGGUGUGUGGUGGAAAGCUUUUGCGGUGUGGGAUGGGCCCGCGGCCUAUCAGCUUGUUGGUGGGGUAAUGGCCUACCAAGGCGACGACGGGUAGCCGGCCUGAGAGGGUGACCGGCCACACUGGGACUGAGAUACGGCCCAGACUCCUACGGGAGGCAGCAGUGGGGAAUAUUGCACAAUGGGCGCAAGCCUGAUGCAGCGACGCCGCGUGAGGGAUGACGGCCUUCGGGUUGUAAACCUCUUUCACCAGGGACGAAGCGCAAGUGACGGUACCUGGAGAAGAAGCACCGGCCAACUACGUGCCAGCAGCCGCGGUAAUACGUAGGGUGCGAGCGUUGUCCGGAAUUACUGGGCGUAAAGAGCUCGUAGGUGGUUUGUCGCGUUGUUCGUGAAAACUCACAGCUUAACUGUGGGCGUGCGGGCGAUACGGGCAGACUAGAGUACUGCAGGGGAGACUGGAAUUCCUGGUGUAGCGGUGGAAUGCGCAGAUAUCAGGAGGAACACCGGUGGCGAAGGCGGGUCUCUGGGCAGUAACUGACGCUGAGGAGCGAAAGCGUGGGGAGCGAACAGGAUUAGAUACCCCGGUAGUCCAA